RNAcentral lists this unclassified non-coding RNA (350 nucleotides) under soil metagenome. Its description in RNAcentral is "partial contains 5.8S ribosomal RNA, internal transcribed spacer 2, and large subunit ribosomal RNA". The stretch from base 1 to 120 matches the Rfam family "5.8S ribosomal RNA", at positions 35 to 154 of the family's 154-position model. The record is from RNAcentral.
GAUGAAGAACGCAGCAAAAUGCGAUAAGUAAUGUGAAUUGCAGAAUUCAGUGAAUCAUCGAAUCUUUGAACGCACAUUGCGCCCGCCAGUAUUCUGGCGGGCAUGCCUGUCCGAGCGUCAUUUCAACCCUCGAGCCCCCCCGGGGGCUCGGCGUUGGGGAUCGGCCCCUCACCGGGCCGGCCCCGAAAUACAGUGGCGGUCUCGCCGCAGCCUCCCCUGCGCAGUAGUUUGCACACUCGCACCGGGAGCGCGGCGCGUCCACGGCCGUAAAACAACCCAAACUUCUGAAAGGUUGACCUCGGAUCAGGUAGGAAUACCCGCUGAACUUAAGCAUAUCAAUAAGCGGAGGA